Molecule: ribosomal RNA, 207 nt
Filed under: uncultured bacterium
Lineage: Bacteria
Description: partial 16S ribosomal RNA
Rfam family: Bacterial small subunit ribosomal RNA
Source: RNAcentral
CACGUAGGCGGCUUGUUAAGUCAGGGGUGAAAUCCUGGAGCUCAACUCCAGAACUGCCUUUGAUACUGGCGAGCUUGAGUUCGGGAGAGGUGAGUGGAACUGCGAGUGUAGAGGUGAAAUUCGUAGAUAUUCGCAAGAACACCAGUGGCGAAGGCGGCUCACUGGCCCGAUACUGACGCUGAGGUGCGAAAGCGUGGGGAGCAAACA